UACGGAGGGUGCGAGCGUUAUUCGGAAUUACUGGGCGUAAAGCGCGUGUAGGCGGGGAUGUAAGUCCGAUGUGAAAGCCCCCGGCUUAACCUGGGGAGUGCAUUGGAAACUGUUUUUCUUGAGUACUGGAGGGGAAGGGAGAUUUCCCGGUGUAGAGGGGUGAUUCGUAGAGUUCGGGAGGAACACCAGUGGCGAAGGCGCCUUUCUGGAGGGUUACUGACGCUGGGUCGCGAGAGCGUGGGGAGUAAACAGG
Molecule: ribosomal RNA, 253 nt
Filed under: uncultured bacterium
Lineage: Bacteria
Description: partial 16S ribosomal RNA
Rfam family: Bacterial small subunit ribosomal RNA
Source: RNAcentral